Molecule: long non-coding RNA, 660 nt
Organism: Antechinus flavipes (yellow-footed antechinus)
Lineage: Eukaryota; Metazoa; Chordata; Mammalia; Dasyuromorphia; Dasyuridae
Exons: 4
Source: RefSeq, a predicted model, not a curated record
UCCAGCAGAGGAUGAGGUCUCCAGUCCCAAUCCUGACAUCCUGACUCAACCACUUACAAGAACCUGAUUAUUGAGGUGGGAUAUCAACUUCUUGUAGUUCAUCCUCUCAGCAACAGUAAGCCAUUGGAUACUUGUUGUUGCCUCUCCUUCCUUCUCAAAAAGGACCAUGACAUCAGGAAGGGGAUGCCAUGACAUGCAAGUGAAGAUGGCAAGUAAUUGAAUAUGUUAAACAUGUGUAAUUCUUUUACACAUAUUUCCACCAUGCUGCACAAGAAAAAUCAGAUCAAAAAAGGAAAAAAAAAAAAUGAGAAAGAAUACAAAAUGUUAUUUCUACCUUCUGAUUCCAAUUCUCCCUGUGCAACAAGAAAACUGUUUGGUUCUGCACACAUAUAUUGUAUCUAGGAUAUACUAUAGCCUAUUUAACAUGUAUAGGACUGCUUGCCAUCUGGGGGAGGAGAUGAAGGGAGGGAGGGAAAAAAUCGGAACAGAAGAGAGUGCAAGGGAUAAUGUAAAAAAUUACCCUGGCAUGGGUUCUGUCAAUAAAAAGUUAUUAAAAAAAAAAAAACCCCAAACCAUUGAUCUUAUUUCUAACUUGGUAACCAUAGAAUGCUGGCAGAUUCUCUCAGAUUGUUGGUUCCCAACUUUUGGUUGGGAUUUAUA